This 420-nucleotide ribosomal RNA is filed under the name uncultured bacterium. Its description in RNAcentral is "bacterial SSU rRNA". It matches the Rfam family "Bacterial small subunit ribosomal RNA", at positions 355 to 774 of the family's 1533-position model. The record is from RNAcentral.
UAAGGAAUAUUGCUCAAUGGGAGAAAUCCUGAAGCAGCAACGCCGCGUGGAGGAUGAAGGGUCUAUGACUUGUAAACUCCUGUAAAGAAGGAAAAAAUUCCCAUUAGAUGGGAGAUGAUGGUACUUCUGGGGUAAGCCCCGGCUAACUACGUGCCAGCAGCCGCGGUAAUACGUAGGGGGCAAGCGUUGUCCGGAUUUACUGGGUGUAAAGGGUGCUCAGGCGGAUUUGUAAGUCAGAGGUGAAAUCUUACAGCUUAACUGUGAAACUGCCUUUGAUACUGCAAGCCUAGAGUAUGGAAGAGAGUGAUGGAAUAUCUGGUGUAGCAGUGAAAUGCGUAGAUAUCAGAUAGAACACCAAUGGCGAAGGCAGUCACUUGGUCCAUUACUGACGCUAAAGCACGAAAGCGUGGGUAGCAAACA